AUACGGAGGGUGCAAGCGUUACUCGGAAUCACGGGGCGUAAAGCGCGCGCAGGCGGGCUGAUAAGUUGGAUGUGAAAGCCUACGGCUCAACCGUAGAACUGCAUCCAAAACUGUCAGUCUAGAGUGUGGGAGAGGAAGAUGGAAUUAGUUGUGUAGGGGUAAAAUCCGUAGAGAUAACUAGGAAUACCAAAAGCGAAGGCAAUCUUCUGGAACACUACUGACGCUGAGGCGCGAAGGCGUGGGGAGCAAACAGGAUUAGAAACCCUAGUAGUCC
This 274-nucleotide ribosomal RNA is filed under the name uncultured bacterium. RNAcentral describes it as "partial 16S ribosomal RNA". It matches the Rfam family "Bacterial small subunit ribosomal RNA", at positions 523 to 796 of the family's 1533-position model. The record is from RNAcentral.